GCGCUGGGCGGGAGGCAGAGCCAAAACCGUAACAGCCAGAGCUAGAGACUCCGGCCUGGGGUUCUGGCUCUGUCCCGUAUCAGCUAGGAAACCCAGGGCAAGCUACUUAAACUCUCAGAGGCUCAGCUUUUUCAUGAGCAAACAGGAAAACAGGGCUAAUGAUUAGUCCUUGGCUUAAAAUACAUACCGCGUGUGAAAUUGCAGGUAUAUAAUAGAUUCACUAAAUGAGAGCACAAAUAAUGUAUGUUUUCUGAACCAUCUGAGGGCGAGUUAUCAACACUUACUCUCCAAUGCGUCAUCACCCCCAACACUCCUGUGUAUUUCCUGCAAAUAAGGAUCUUCUCCUACAUGGUCAGUCCGAACAACCUUCAGUCACAACUGAGAAGGUCACAUGGUGCAUCACUGCCGCUCAGUCUCCCCAAGCCCAGUGAUUUCUUCACAAUUAGGGAUCUGAGACCCGCAGUAUGGCAGUGACAAGAUCCAAGUCUUGGGACACCUAGCCAGGAGGGAAGAAUUUGAGGGAGAGGUGGAAAAUAUGCGAGGCUGAACUGACCUUCAAGGACAAGAAGGCUGUGUUCAGAUAGACAGAGUUUGUCUUCUGGGAGAGGAGUGGGCUUAUCCAGGAUGAUCCCAAAGGCAGAUUGAGGACCAGUGGGAGGACAUCCUGAGAAAGCAGAUCCAGCUUUAGGCAAGGAAGGACUUCGUAACAGGCAGAGAGCCCAUGUUGGAAACAAGCAGCUCUGCAAGGUGUGGGCCCACUGUCUGACUCCCUGCGGGGCUGCUGCCUUGGAAGAGCCUCCUGCUUAGAGAGGUUCUCCUGCCGCCAGCUGUCUCUCCUGAGUCCUGAGCACCACAUCUCUGGACCGUCUGGAGCCUCCCCUCCCUUGGCUUACUGCUCCCACCACCCUCUCUCUCCACCUUGCAAGAGACACUCUCCCUCAUCCUGGGUCAUCACCCUCUUUAGAGGCGCCGCCUGGCCACGAGGUGGGCAGGAUCUUGGCCUUACUUGAUGCAGUGCACACCUCCAACAGGCAUCAGAUGGAGUGCAGCCGGGAGCAAGAUUCUCAUAGCAAUUACAAAGAUUCACAAGAAAAUGUGCCCUCCACUACACAGCUGUAAUUUACAUGCUUUCAAACUUGAUAUGGAAUGACUGUGGUUUCCCCUGAAAGAAGCAUCACUGAUCUCUGCACAGGAGAAACAAGGGUGUGUUAGGAGUUACAUCCACUAACCUCUGGGGCUAGAAUGUUCCUCCUAAUCCCGGAUUACCAGCUUACAACCCCAAUGCCCACUUUCUCAAACAAGCCUCGUCUUUUUAAAGAAGCCAAAUAUGGUGAUAGAGACUCUCAUCAAGGACACUGAGUAAACCAGAAACCUGCUUGGGCUCACGUUCCUUGUCUCUUCUUCUCAGAUCCAGGAAAGGAGCUGUCCAGGACAAUGAGGAUAGGCUGAGGAAAGACAGGCCACGGCCUUGCCUCUGUGCCAGCUCUCAUGGGCCAGGCAGAGUAUCCCAGGACAACUGCCUCCACAACCAGCUCCAUCCUUCAUCAGCAAUUCAGUACCUGAUUAACAAAUCUGUACCCCAGGAGGUUAUGCCAAGUCCAACUUCUUCCAGAGACCACAACAAUAAAUCCAAGCCACUGCUAAUGUCAUUUAUAAGCUGUGGGAUUAAAACAGAGAAGCAAUCAAUUAAUUAAAAUUAGCUCUUUAUUGAAA
Homo sapiens (human) is the source of this 1713-nucleotide long non-coding RNA. Lineage: Eukaryota; Metazoa; Chordata; Mammalia; Primates; Hominidae. The record is from Ensembl.